RNAcentral lists this long non-coding RNA (205 nucleotides) under Capsella rubella. RNAcentral describes it as "long non-coding RNA (CRUB_LNC000622)". Lineage: Eukaryota; Viridiplantae; Streptophyta; Magnoliopsida; Brassicales; Brassicaceae. The record is from RNAcentral.
UUGGAAAUGAUACGCACCUGGAUCAACAGUCAGGUCCUCAAUGUGAUCCUCAGCUUGAUCCAUGGUCAGAUCCUCAACAUGAUGCUCCUCUGACAAGUGUGAUGAACUGGCUUUUGCCUUCCGUCUCGCUGCCUUCUUCUUUUUCCUUUUCUCCUUCUUUUUGCUAGCCCUAAGCUCAGGGGAGGACUGUCUCAGAGGAGAAGAA